GAUGAACGCUGGCGGCGUGCCUAAUACAUGCAAGUCGAGCGAAUGGAUUAAGAGCUUGCUCUUAUGAAGUUAGCGGCGGACGGGUGAGUAACACGUGGGUAACCUGCCCAUAAGACUGGGAUAACUCCGGGAAACCGGGGCUAAUACCGGAUAACAUUUUGAACCGCAUGGUUCGAAAUUGAGAGGCGGCUUCGGCUGUCACUUAUGGAUGGACCCGCGUCGCAUUAGCUAGUUGGGGAGGUAACGGCUCACCAAGGCAACGAUGCGUAGCCGAACUGGGAGGGUGAGCGGCCACACUGGGACUGAGCAACGGCCCAGACUCCUACGGGAGGCAGCAGUAGGGAAUCUUCCGCAAUGGACGAAAGUCUGACGGAGCAACGCCGCGUGCGUGAUGAAGGCUUUCGGGUCGUAAAACUCUGUUGUUAGGGAAGACCAAGUGCUAGUUGAAUAAGCUGGCACCUUGACGGUACCUAACCAGAAAGCCACGGCUAACUACGUGCCAGCCGCCGCAGUAA
RNAcentral lists this ribosomal RNA (515 nucleotides) under uncultured bacterium. Its description in RNAcentral is "partial 16S ribosomal RNA". It matches the Rfam family "Bacterial small subunit ribosomal RNA", at positions 28 to 523 of the family's 1533-position model. The record is from RNAcentral.